AACAAUAUAUUGAUGAAAUGAAUUCUUUUAUAUCAUAAUCAAAGCUGUAUACCUAUCAAUGCCUGCCUGCUGCUCGUCUAAUGCUUUUUACACAUGACUGAUGCAUGGAAUGAAAAUGGAAAAUAAAAUAAAAUAUAGGAACGACCCUCUCUCUCUUUCUCUCUCUUUUCCACUGAAGAACAUUUCAUUGCGACUUAUAACCUAAGUAAGUUUAACUGAUAAAUAUUGAAUUAGUAUAAAAUACGGGGAAUUUAGUUUUUUUUUAUCUUCUCUCUCGGAGGCACCCCCGGAUUUUGCGUGAGAUGGGGGCGUGCUGGUGCUGCAGAGGAAGCUGGCAGGGUCCGUUUCGGUGACACCUGGCCUUACAUUAACUCCUCCACUUGUAAUUUUUGAGCCAACCAUCAACUCCGCCAUUGAACCAGAAAACAACUGCCAGUCCCUCUCUCUCUCCUGACUGCGCUGCAAACGCUUUUAUUGAAUGGCCCAGGCUCUCCGAUGAGCGACGAUCGACCUUUCUUCAACCGAGGAAAAGGAGAGAGUAGCAGGCAUUUAAUGUUAAGUUUAGCAGGAGGGGCUAACCGGGGGGAGGAGAGAUGGUGACGGAGGUGGCGUGGCGUGGGGGCCUGGGGAAAGGGCAGGGGGGAGGGGCAUCACAAGAUGCGUGCACGCGUUCAUUCGACAGAGACGAUGAUGAUGCAGCAGAAGGAGAAGCGGAGAAGUUUCACUUUUUCCCUCGUUUCCACGUACUGGGUCGGGUUCGAGUUCAUCGGGAAUAGGAAAGAUGCCGAGAAUGGGUCGACUGGAGGAAAUAGCUUCGAGCCAAGGGGUAGGCUUUUGCGCAGAGUAGAGAGAGAGAGAGA
RNAcentral lists this long non-coding RNA (860 nucleotides) under Eucalyptus grandis. RNAcentral describes it as "long non-coding RNA (EGRA_LNC000363)". Lineage: Eukaryota; Viridiplantae; Streptophyta; Magnoliopsida; Myrtales; Myrtaceae. The record is from RNAcentral.